GACGAACGCUGGCGGCGUGCCUAAUACAUGCAAGUAGAACGCUGAAGGAGGAGCUUGCUUCUCUGGAUGAGUUGCGAACGGGUGAGUAGCGCGUAGGUAACCUGCCUGGUAGCGGGGGAUAACUAUUGGAAACGAUAGCUAAUACCGCAUAAUAGUAGAUGUUGCAUGACAUUUGCUUAAAAGGUGCAAUUGCAUCACUACCAGAUGGACCUGCGUUGUAUUAGCUAGUUGGUGGGGUAACGGCUCACCAAGGCGACGAUACAUAGCCGACCUGAGAGGGUGAUCGGCCACACUGGGACUGAGACACGGCCCAGACUCCUACGGGAGGCAGCAGUAGGGAAUCUUCGGCAAUGGACGGAAGUCUGACCGAGCAACGCCGCGUGAGUGAAGAAGGUUUUCGGAUCGUAAAGCUCUGUUGUAAGAGAAGAACGAGUGUGAGAGUGGAAAGUUCACACUGUGACGGUAUCUUACCAGAAAGGGACGGCUAACUACGUG
Molecule: ribosomal RNA, 495 nt
Filed under: uncultured bacterium
Lineage: Bacteria
Description: partial 16S ribosomal RNA
Rfam family: Bacterial small subunit ribosomal RNA
Source: RNAcentral